This is an RNA transcript of Medicago truncatula (barrel medic), 1219 nucleotides long. It is a transcript of the gene named BAG family molecular chaperone regulator 4-like, with no coding region annotated. NCBI's taxonomy places the organism in Eukaryota, Viridiplantae, Streptophyta, Magnoliopsida, Fabales, Fabaceae. The record is from RefSeq and is a predicted model, not a curated record. The transcript is spliced from 4 exons.
UGAAAGCGAGCGAAGUGAAAGAAAAGUAUGAGAUGACGAGAGGAGCAACAAUUUGAGUGAUUCUUCUAUUCUCUUCUCUUUCCCCGUUUAUCAAAACGCACCAAUUACACGCGUUUUGAUUUCAUUGCAACUUCCGAUGAACAGCGCCGCUUAUUCUGCCGGAGUCUCGCCGUCGAAUGAGGCGGAUAUCGAUUGGGAGAUGCGUCCCGGCGGUAUGUUCGUACAGAGACGCGAAUCAGGUGACGAUGAUCAUACCGACGGACCGAUGAUCAACAUCAGUGUUGCAUAUGGUUCUUCUCAGCAUGAAGUUUAUCUUCCAGCUCAAUCCUCUUUCUGGGAUGUUAAGAAACUGCUUGCACACAAAACUGGUUUAAAGCCUGAACAGCAAAUACUCUUCUUUAAUGGAAAAGAAAAGGAGAAUGAAGAGAAUUUGCACAUGGAAGGUGUGAAGGACAUGUCAAAGCUUUUGCUUUUGGAGGAUGCCGCUAGCAAAGAGAGUAAUAUUGAGGAAGUAAGAAAACAAAAUGAAAUGUUAAAAGCUUUUCAAGCUGUUGCUGUUGUCGGAUCAGAGGUGGACAAGCUUUGUGACAGGGUGUCGGCCUUGGACGUUGCUGUCAAUGGAGGGACCAAGGUUUCUGACAAAGAAUUUGUUGUGACUACAGAGUUGCUUAUGAGGAAAUUGCUGGAGCUGGAUGGUAUUAAGGCUGAAGGUGAAGCUAAGUUGCAGAGAAAAGCUGAGGUUCGUCGUGUACAGAACGCUGUGGAUACUUUAGAUUCCCUGAAGGCAAAAAACUCUCGCCUAUCCUUUUAGCAACAUUGCUAAGGCAGACUCAGCACCAACCCAAUUGGAGACCUUUGACUUUGGAAUGGUAAGCUUGAAUGCUCCAACCUCAUCGUCGUCAUCACCACCACCAUCUACUACACGUUAGUCAAGAUUGGGAGCGGUUUGAUUAGCUCAGAAAUUGUGUUACAUUAUUUUGUAAAGCACGUGCAAUACCAUAUUUUUGAACCUUGAUUCUUCAUUUGAGGACCGGUUUUUUGUAGUUUGCUUAAGGCAAUAUCUUUAAACACUUGGACUGCCUUUGAAGAAUACAAAAAGGGAAAUGAAGGAGCAUAUUAUAGAUACUCUUGCCCAGAAAUGGGUUCAUGUAAUUAUGAAUUCAUCCAUUGUGAGUAUUGAUCUUGCCUGACGGCAUGUUAAGAUUUAAAAAUUUCAUCA